AACGAACGCUGGCGGCAUGCCUAACACAUGCAAGUCGAACGAGACCUUCGGGUCUAGUGGCGCACGGGUGCGUAACACGUGGGAAUCUGCCCUUUGCUUCGGAAUAACAGUUAGAAAUGACUGCUAAUACCGGAUGAUGUCGAAAGACCAAAGAUUUAUCGGCAAAGGAUGAGCCCGCGUAGGAUUAGGUAGUUGGUGGGGUAAAGGCCUACCAAGCCGACGAUCCUUAGCUGGUCUGAGAGGAUGAUCAGCCACACUGGGACUGAGACACGGCCCAGACUCCUACGGGAGGCAGCAGUGGGGAAUAUUGGACAAUGGGCGAAAGCCUGAUCCAGCAAUGCCGCGUGAGUGAUGAAGGCCUUAGGGUUGUAAAGCUCUUUUACCAGGGAUGAUAAUGACAGUACCUAGAGAAUAAGCUCCGGCUAACUCCGU
This 432-nucleotide ribosomal RNA is filed under the name uncultured bacterium. Its description in RNAcentral is "partial 16S ribosomal RNA". It matches the Rfam family "Bacterial small subunit ribosomal RNA", at positions 29 to 506 of the family's 1533-position model. The record is from RNAcentral.